AUCAAAAUAAAGCUUGCAUCGGUCUGGUCAAGGUCAAAUUUGAUGAUUUGUGAUCGUUGAAGAAGUGAAAUGUGGUGGGAAACUAUACCAUCAGCUGUCAUAGUUUGGGCUGCUUUAUUUGCUCCUUGUGUGAUUGGAUAUGGUUCAAAUUACUUGAGAAAAAAUGGAAAAUGGGAGAACAGAAACUGGUUAACAAACAAACAUGACCAUGCAGCUUACCUAAGAGAUCGAUACAUCACAGGCAGUGAAUUUAUACCUAAAGGAUUAGAGGCCAUUCCAGAUGAAGAAAAAUGAACAGUGGAAAAUAGACUUAUAGAUUGAACUUGUGUACAUUUGUUCCUAUUUGUAUUUAAAAAAACAUUGGGCAGUAAAUAUGAUAACAUGAA
Molecule: long non-coding RNA, 386 nt
Organism: Mytilus californianus (California mussel)
Lineage: Eukaryota; Metazoa; Mollusca; Bivalvia; Mytilida; Mytilidae
Exons: 3
Source: RefSeq, a predicted model, not a curated record